AACACUGUUAACCUGCGGUACCUGCGGAAGGAUCAUUACAAAGUGUUUAACCCCCUAUAAAAUGGUGGGUCUAACCUCCCGUCCUUUGCUGGGUCCCCCUUCUGGAGGACUUUCAAAACUUUCUGCUUCGGCGGGGUAUACCCGCCGGAACACCCUCAAAAAAUUCUUGAUCAAAAUGGUUCGGUCCGAGAAACUUUUUGUGAAAAUUAGCGAAAAACUUUUAACAAUGGAUCUCAGAUC
RNAcentral lists this unclassified non-coding RNA (240 nucleotides) under soil metagenome. RNAcentral describes it as "partial contains 5.8S ribosomal RNA, internal transcribed spacer 2, and large subunit ribosomal RNA". The record is from RNAcentral.